This 422-nucleotide unclassified non-coding RNA is filed under the name Melitaea cinxia (Glanville fritillary). RNAcentral describes it as "misc RNA ENSMCXG00005009761.1". The record is from RNAcentral. Lineage: Eukaryota; Metazoa; Arthropoda; Insecta; Lepidoptera; Nymphalidae.
UAUGAACUUCCACUUGUAUGGACGGCGAAGGCUGAGGUCUAGUUCGAGUGUUUUUUCACCGUAUGUCGAUAUAGUGGUGUUGUUAGCGGCGUAGAGUUUGAAUGGCAGCGGUGUAGUGAAAUGAGUUUUUUUCCUAAGUAGAACGGAUAUGUUAGCUCCCGUGUCUACCAAGAAAGAUGUUCCUGUUUUCUUGUCUGUGACAAAUAGGCGGUAGGAGUAUUCUUGAGCGCCGGAUUCCGCCUCUGCCAGCGUUCUCUCUAUUUUCCGAUUGCUUUCCUUUAGACGCGAAGGAACACGGUGAUCUGCAGUUUCUUGCCUGGGCACCGUAACGUUGGUGGUAAUAGCACACUGACGAUGGUGAAUUGUCUCUCGAUCGAGAUUUAUAUCGAGGGUUGUAGGAGCGGCUUCGAGAACGGUUUCUU